RNAcentral lists this ribosomal RNA (339 nucleotides) under Triticum aestivum (bread wheat). Its description in RNAcentral is "partial small subunit ribosomal RNA". The record is from RNAcentral. Lineage: Eukaryota; Viridiplantae; Streptophyta; Magnoliopsida; Poales; Poaceae.
AUGGAAUUGACGUUAGCUUCAGAAGGAGGCAUAAUCUCGAAACUCUUAGCUCGCAGCACGGUUCCAAUUCUCGACAAAAAUCAAGAGUUGAAGCUGAGGAACAUAAUGAUGGUGAAGCCGACGACGAUGAAGAGCCCUUUGUUCAUAGAGGAGUUGUUGCAAAGCCCCCUCCAAGAAGCUCAUGAGCCCAUGAAGAUGAAAGCAUUGCAAAAAUUAUCUCCAGUUGAUCCAGACACUAUUGUGGGCGAAGAGCCCCUUGGACCAGCGACUUAUGAGGUUCUUGUCAAUGUUGUGAUCAGAAGGGAUACUAUGGUGCCUUAUGAAUAUGAAGGCUUAUGA